RNAcentral lists this transfer RNA (40 nucleotides) under uncultured Ochromonas. RNAcentral's name for it is "partial Selenocysteine transfer RNA". Lineage: Eukaryota; Chrysophyceae; Chromulinales; Chromulinaceae. The record is from RNAcentral.
CGGUGGCUUUUUCGGUCUUCAAACCCGUGGUGAGGCAUCU